This 492-nucleotide ribosomal RNA is filed under the name uncultured bacterium. Its description in RNAcentral is "partial 16S ribosomal RNA". It matches the Rfam family "Bacterial small subunit ribosomal RNA", at positions 29 to 507 of the family's 1533-position model. The record is from RNAcentral.
AGUGAACGCUGGCGGUAGGCCUAACACAUGCAAGUCGAACGGCAGCACAGUAAGAGCUUGCUCUUACGGGUGGCGAGUGGCGGACGGGUGAGGAAUACAUCGGAAUCUACUUUUUCGUGGGGGAUAACGUAGGGAAACUUACGCUAAUACCGCAUACGACCUACGGGUGAAAGCAGGGGAUCUUCGGACCUUGCGCGAUUGAAUGAGCCGAUGUCGGAUUAGCUAGUUGGCGGGGUAAAGGCCCACCAAGGCGACGAUCCGUAGCUGGUCUGAGAGGAUGAUCAGCCACACUUGAACUGAGACGCGGUCCAGACUCCUACGGGAGGCAGCAGUGGGGAAUAUUGGACAAUGGGCGCAAGCCUGAUACAGCCAUACCGCGUGGGUGAAGAAGGCCUUCGGGUUGUAAAGCCCUUUUGUUGGGAAAGAAAAGCAGCAGGUUAAUACCCCGCUGUUCUGACGGUACCCAAAGAAUAAGCACCGGCUAACUUCGUG